This 234-nucleotide ribosomal RNA is filed under the name uncultured bacterium. Its description in RNAcentral is "partial 16S ribosomal RNA". It matches the Rfam family "Bacterial small subunit ribosomal RNA", at positions 32 to 248 of the family's 1533-position model. The record is from RNAcentral.
AAUCAACGCUGGCGGCGUGCCUAACACAUGCAAGUCGAACGCGAAAGUCCCGCAAGGGAUUAGUAGAGUGGCAAACGGGUGAGUAACACGUGGGUGACCUGCCUUCGAGUGGGGGAUAACGUCCCGAAAGGGACGCUAAUACCGCACAACAUCCUGCCUUUGAAGAGGUGGAGAUCAAAGCUGGGGACCGCAAGGCCUGGCGCUGGAAGGAGGGGCCCGCGUCUGAUUAGCUAG